GGGCGUAUAGCUCAGCUGGUAGAGCAUCUGCCUUACAAGCAGGCGGUCAUAGGUUCGAGUCCUAUUGCGCCCACCA
This 76-nucleotide transfer RNA is filed under the name Clostridia bacterium. RNAcentral describes it as "tRNA-Val". It matches the Rfam family "tRNA". Rfam says of the family: Transfer RNA (tRNA) molecules are approximately 80 nucleotides in length. The record is from RNAcentral. Lineage: Bacteria; Bacillati; Bacillota; Clostridia.